This 253-nucleotide ribosomal RNA is filed under the name uncultured bacterium. Its description in RNAcentral is "partial 16S ribosomal RNA". It matches the Rfam family "Bacterial small subunit ribosomal RNA", at positions 524 to 776 of the family's 1533-position model. The record is from RNAcentral.
UACGUAGGAUUCAAGCGUUGUCCGGAUUUAUUGGGUUUAAAGGGGGCGUAGGCGUCGUAUUAAGUUAGUGGUGAAAACGUUCGGCUUAACCGGAUACCCGCCAUUGAUACUGAUAGACUUGAGUGCGACAGAGGGUGUUGGAAUGUGUGGUGUAGCGGUGAAAUGCUUAGAGAUCACGCAGAACACCAAUUGCGAAGGCAGAUGCCUAUGUCGUAACUGACGAUGAGGCACGAAAGCGUGGGGAGCAAACAGG